ACUCCUACGGGAGGCAGCAGUGGGGAAUAUUGGACAAUGGGGAACCCGUAGAUCCAGCCAUGCCGCGUGUGUGAAGAAGGCCUUCGGGUUGUAAAGCACUUUCAGUGGGGAGGAAAGGUUGAUGGUUAAUACCUAUCAGCUGUGACGUUACCCACAGAAGAAGCACCGGCUAACUCCGUGCCAGCAGCCGCGGUAAUACGGAGGGUGCGAGCGUUAAUCGGAAUUACUGGGCGUAAAGCGCAUGCAGGUGGUUUGUUAAGUCAGAUGUGAAAGCCCGGGGCUCAACCUCGGAAUUGCAUUUGAAACUGGCAGACUAGAGUACUGUAGAGGGGGUAGAAUUUCAUGGUGUAGCGGUGAAAUGCAGUAGAGAUCUGAAGGAAUACCGGUGGCGAAGGCGGCCCCUGGACCAGAUACUGACACUCAGAUGCGAAAGCGUGGGGAGCAAACAGGAUUAGGAU
This 458-nucleotide ribosomal RNA is filed under the name uncultured bacterium. Its description in RNAcentral is "bacterial SSU rRNA". It matches the Rfam family "Bacterial small subunit ribosomal RNA", at positions 335 to 784 of the family's 1533-position model. The record is from RNAcentral.